GUGCUCACAUCAGCAGCACAUAGACUAAAAGUGGAACAAUACUGAGAGGAUUUGCAUGGCCCCUGUGCAAGGAUGACAUGCAAAUUUGUGAAGUGUUCCAUAUUUUU
Phacochoerus africanus (Common warthog) is the source of this 107-nucleotide small nuclear RNA. Lineage: Eukaryota; Metazoa; Chordata; Mammalia; Artiodactyla; Suidae. The record is from RefSeq and is a predicted model, not a curated record.